GGGGUAUAUGUAAAGUACAAGGGAGUUGCGAAAAUAAAAGAUCUCAUUGUCAGGUAGCCCAAGAGAAAGUCGUGUGUGAGCAAGUGUGUCCUAAACUAGAAAGCACAUAAAAGAUUACAAUUUAUCUUGAUUCUUGAAUGCUCCUUCCAUGUUAGGGUUGAAUGAUUGUCCAAGGUCUUUUGCAAGGGUCCUAACAACAAUCUCUAAGUCCAUUACAUGUUUGAGAAUUAUCUUUUUUAUUUUCGUAUUUUUUAAGUUUUAUUCUUUUUUAGGUCCUUUUUUAGAUGAAGAAUGAAUAUGUACAAUAUAAAGCAAAAUAAAACAAUAUAAAGUAAAUUACAAGAAUUAAAUAUUAGAAUCGGAAAUUAAAUGUUAGAAGUUAAUGGUUAAUGUUAGGAAUUAAUAUUAAUCAAGACAAAUGUCAAGAGGAUCGAAGUCAAAUAUUAAAACAAUUCUAAUAUUGUGAAACAAUUAUCAAAGAUCAAAAUCAAAUGAAGUUCUAAACCUAAAACAAUCACCGAAACAAAUUCUAAAUUUACAAACAAAUAUCAAAAAUAAAUCCUAAAAUUAAUUCUAACAUCAAGUUCAAAAUAAUAUUCUAAAUCAAAUGCUAAAAUAUAAUUCAAGGCGAAUCUACCAUUAAUAUUCUAACAUUCUAAUCUAAACUAGUCAACAUGAUUAACCUAAUCAUAUAUUCUAAAAUUCUAGAAUUAUAGGACUAAUUCUAAAAUUCUAAAACUAGAUCUACUUCUAAGAUUAAAUCUAAUUCUAAGGUUAAGUUAAACUCUAAUUACCGUAAUACUCUAAUCUAAUGUUAUACUUGACACUUAAUCCAAUCUAUAAUCCAAUUAGCAAAAGGAAAGAACAAGAAAAAAAAAGGGAGACUGAUAUACCAAACACUCAGCCACGGGUGAGUCACUGAAGUCUAUGGUAUACGGAGGAAAGGGCCCACGGACUGGCCCAGGGAUCUCAAUACUCGCCGGCGGAGGAUACUAACACUUCGUUUGGGCUUUAGGCUUAAAACGCGUUUAGAACUCCACAGAUCUAGCAACUGAAGCCAAAAGAGACACCAGCAUCUCACGAGGGAACCAAGCAAGAAGCGACGGUACCUUCGCGACCGGAAUCCGGGAAACAUCGCGAUUCUUCCUCGGUCGCCCUCACGUCGUCCAUGAUCUUCGUAUUUGGAUUCCAUGUUUAACACCGUGGAUUCGUGCUUAACGGCCUUCUUCACAUCCGUUUCUUCUUUGUUAUCUAUGACUUGACAUACGCCGUCGCCGUUAUUGGUGUCGUCGGUUGUGGCAGACGCUACAGCGGCGAAGAGGAAGAAAGCGAGGAUAAGGCGAUGCUGGACGAAGGAUCUCAGAAGAAAUUUUGAGAGAGGAAGAAGAUUCGAGAAGGGAGAAACGGUUUUUUGAAAGAGGAGUUGCUCCCGAAGAAAACAUAAUUGCACUGUGGAAUCAGUUCUACGUUCCGUCCUUUACGCACUUGAAGUUUUGACGCUUUGGAGUUGUGGCUUUGGCUUAUGGCGCAUUUGCGUUUCUGUUGGCUUUUGUGCCGUGUUUUGAUGCAGCUUGGAAGCUGCGCUCGCAAGUCGUUUGGUAUUUGGCGGCUGCGAAGUUUAGCAGCUUCUGGUCAUGCGUUCCCAUUCCUUCACCUUAUUAUUAUUAUUAUUAUUAUUAUUAUUAUUAUUAUUAUUUAUUUUUUUAAAUAUUGGGCUGUGGGAAUUAACAUUGGAAAUGGAUUAGAAAGAUGGGUUAGAUUAAUGAAAGAUGGAUUGGAUUAAUAAACUUGGAUUUGUUGGAUAAAUGUACAAAUGGAUAACAAUAGAUAUUUGGAAUUGGUUUAA
Lathyrus oleraceus (garden pea) is the source of this 1846-nucleotide long non-coding RNA. RefSeq lists it as uncharacterized. Lineage: Eukaryota; Viridiplantae; Streptophyta; Magnoliopsida; Fabales; Fabaceae. The transcript has 2 exons. The record is from RefSeq and is a predicted model, not a curated record.